RNAcentral lists this ribosomal RNA (654 nucleotides) under Lucilia fayeae. RNAcentral describes it as "eukaryotic LSU rRNA". It matches the Rfam family "Eukaryotic large subunit ribosomal RNA", at positions 87 to 639 of the family's 3401-position model. The record is from RNAcentral. Lineage: Eukaryota; Metazoa; Arthropoda; Insecta; Diptera; Calliphoridae.
CGGCGAGCGAAAAGAAAAUAGUUCAGCACUAAGUCACUUUGUCUUUAUGGCAAAUGUGAGAUGCAGUGUAUGGAAUGUCAAAUUUCUAGUAUGAGAAGUUAACGAUUUAAGUCCUUCUUAAAUGAGGCCAUUUACCCAAAGAGGGUGCCAGGCCCGUAUAACGUUAAUGAUUACUAGAUGGCAUUUCCAAAGAGUCGUGUUGCUUGAUAGUGCAGCACUAAGUGGGUGGUAAACUCCAUCUAAAACUAAAUAUAACCAUGAGACCGAUAGUAAACAAGUACCGUGAGGGAAAGUUGAAAAGAACUCUGAAUAGAGAGUUAAAUAGUACGUGAAACUGCUUAGAGGUUAAGCCCGAUGAACCUGAAUAUCCAUUAUGGAAAAUUCAUCAUUAUGAUUUUAAUAUUUAUAAUAUUAUAAUAAUGGUGUGCAUUUUUUCUAUAAAGGACAUUGUAAUCUAUUAACAUACAUUAAUUUAUCAUAAGAUCAUUUGCGUAUGUUUAUUCAAAUUAUUUUGCUUGCAAUUUAAUAUCGAAUAAAUGCUUUUGAUUUGAUAAAGUGUUGAUAGAUUUAUUAUAUACAGUGCUUAAAUAUUUAUAUUUUAUAAUAGCAUAUUAAUCAAUGAUUUUUAUGUUCAUUAUAUGCACUUGUAUGAUU